This 596-nucleotide ribosomal RNA is filed under the name Mucilaginibacter sp. RNAcentral's name for it is "bacterial SSU rRNA". It matches the Rfam family "Bacterial small subunit ribosomal RNA", at positions 82 to 744 of the family's 1533-position model. The record is from RNAcentral. Lineage: Bacteria; Pseudomonadati; Bacteroidota; Sphingobacteriia; Sphingobacteriales; Sphingobacteriaceae.
GCUCCCAAUGAGAGUGGCGCACGGGUGCGUAACACGUAUGUAACCUACCUUUGUCAGGGGGAUAGCCUCUCGAAAGAGAGAUUAAGAACAUUAGCUAGUUGGUAGGGUAACGGCCUACCAAGGCUACGAUGUUUAGGGGAUCUGAGAGGAUGGCCCCCCACACUGGUACUGAGACACGGACCAGACUCCUACGGGAGGCAGCAGUAAGGAAUAUUGGUCAAUGGGCGGAAGCCUGAACCAGCCAUGCCGCGUGCAGGAAGACGGCCCUACGGGUUGUAAACUGCUUUUGUACCGGAAUAAACCUUGAUACGUGUAUCAAGCUGAAUGUACGGUAAGAAUAAGGAUCGGCUAACUCCGUGCCAGCAGCCGCGGUAAUACGGAGGAUCCAAGCGUUAUCCGGAUUUAUUGGGUUUAAAGGGUGCGUAGGUGGCUUUUUAAGUCAGGGGUGAAAGACGGUAGCUUAACUAUCGCAGUGCCUUUGAUACUGAAGAGCUUGAAUGAACUAGAGGUAGGCGGAAUGUGACAAGUAGCGGUGAAAUGCAUAGAUAUGUCACAGAACACCGAUUGCGAAGGCAGCUUACUAUGGUUUUAUUGAC